This is a non-coding RNA of Mycena rebaudengoi, 90 nucleotides long. NCBI's taxonomy places the organism in Eukaryota, Fungi, Basidiomycota, Agaricomycetes, Agaricales, Mycenaceae. The record is from the annotation of a GenBank genome assembly.
GCCCUUGUUGAUUAAUGGAAAUCACCUGCUGUCCUUACCGAAUCGAUAGCAUUCACGUGGGAGACGGAGGUUCGAAUCCUCCCGAGGGCA